RNAcentral lists this ribosomal RNA (180 nucleotides) under uncultured bacterium. RNAcentral describes it as "partial 16S ribosomal RNA". It matches the Rfam family "Bacterial small subunit ribosomal RNA", at positions 521 to 700 of the family's 1533-position model. The record is from RNAcentral.
UAAUACAGAGGGUGCGAGCGUUGUUCGGAAUUAUUGGGCGUAAAGGGCGCGUAGGCGGUGCGGUAAGUCUCCUGUGAAAUCUCCGGGCUCAACUCGGAGCGGUCAGGGGAAACUGCCGUGCUUGAGUGUGGGAGAGGUGCGUGGAAUUCCCGGUGUAGCGGUGAAAUGCGUAGAUAUCGG